AUUACUCUAGUGAUCUCUUUAUACGUGCUUGUUCUAUAAUUAUGAUAAUUAUAAUGAUAAUAUUUUAGCUUUACUGUGAACGACUUAUUUUAUCGAGGGGUGUUUUUUUGCAAGUAGAUCAUCGUUAAUAUGUAAAACUCAGAUAUACUCGUCCGGGAACAAAACAACAAUAUUAGAAAAUAGCGACAGUAUAUUGACUCAAAGUAGGAUAAAAUGGGUCUAACACGAAAAUAAGUAUCAGUGAAAUUAUUGUUUAACAACAUUUUAAUUGUUGUAGAUUAUGUCUGUUUAUUUUGAUUGUAGCACUGCC
Molecule: long non-coding RNA, 310 nt
Filed under: Mytilus galloprovincialis (Mediterranean mussel)
Lineage: Eukaryota; Metazoa; Mollusca; Bivalvia; Mytilida; Mytilidae
Source: RNAcentral